AGUGAACGCUGGCGGCGUGCUUAACACAUGCAAGUCGAACGAGAACGGGCUAUAGCUUGCUAUAGUUGUCAGCUAAGUGGCGCACGGGUGAGUAAUGUAUAGGUAAUAUGCCUCUUACUAAGGGAUAACAAAUGGAAACGUUUGCUAAUACCUUAUACUCCUUAUUAACAGAAGUUAAUAAGGGAAAGAUUUAUUGGUAAGAGAUUAGCCUGUAUUGUAUCAGUUAGUUGGUGGGGUAAUGGCUUACCAAGACUAUGACACAUAACUGGUUUGAGAGGAUGAUCAGUCAAACUGGAACGGAGAAACGGUCCAGACUCCUACGGGAGGCAGCAGUGGGGAAUAUUGCACAAUGGACGAAAGUCUGAUGCAGCAACGCCGCGUGGAGGAUGACACAUUUCGGUGCGUAACUCCUUUUAUAUGAGAAGAUAAUGACGGUAUUAUAUGAAUAAGCACCGGCUAACUCCGUGCCAGCCGCCGCGGUAA
Molecule: ribosomal RNA, 483 nt
Filed under: uncultured bacterium
Lineage: Bacteria
Description: partial 16S ribosomal RNA
Rfam family: Bacterial small subunit ribosomal RNA
Source: RNAcentral